CAGGACCUAUCUGCACCCCCUGGCUACACGCUCACUGAGAACGUGGCCCGGAUCCUCAACAAAAAGUUGUUGGAGCAUGCCUUAAAGGAGGAGAGGAAGCAAGCCACCCAUGGCUCCUCAGGUCUCACCAGCGACAGCCACCCUGGAGAAGCAGUGCCAGCUGAACCAGGAUCCAUGGAGAACGGCGUGUGGAUUCUCAGGCCACCUCAGUACAGACCAGCAGUUUGUCAUCUUUUAAACCAACCAUUUUCAUUGGAAUCAGGAACUGCCUUGUUCUGCGCUCGCGCCAUCCCUAGAGCCCUGCUUCUCCAGGCCAGAGAGACCAGCAAACCGCCGCCUUCCAUCCCGUUGGGCCCCACCUUCCCCUACUGCCUCUCAGUCUCAGUCACCCGGAGACCCAGUGUCCUUGGAGGAACGCGGUGAGGAGGACCCACCUGAGGAGAAGCCACACCCAUGACAGGAAGCAAGCUUGCAUGGAUGUUCACCGGAAUAAUUCACUGUAAUUUGCAUAACCAGACUAUCACCCUCAACCAACCUUCGCCCCCAAAAGAAAGACGUAGCUUUCUCAAGGUCAAAGGAUGUUUUUCAAAAACACACGGCUACUACUGAAUGUUCAACCCGGUAAACUGAGUUGUUUCGGGAAUGAAGCAGUAAACGUGCCUGUAAUAAUUUUUUCAUAGCUCAGAAAACUAUUUUUGUCUCCAUCUUUUUUACACACGGUAUAUUAAACAAAAAGAGGUAAAUAAGGUAUAAACAGAUUUAAGAGUUUUAAAAACAAUGUACAUUUUAAGAGCUCUCGAGCGCCCUUGUC
RNAcentral lists this long non-coding RNA (811 nucleotides) under Rattus norvegicus (Norway rat). Its description in RNAcentral is "long non-coding RNA NONRATT030369". Lineage: Eukaryota; Metazoa; Chordata; Mammalia; Rodentia; Muridae. The record is from RNAcentral.